AGAGUUUGAUCCUGGCUCAGAACGACGCUGGCGGCAUGCCUAACACAUGCAAGUCGAACGAGACCUUCGGGUCUAGUGGCGCACGGGUGCGUAACGCGUGGGAACCUGCCUUUAGGUUCGGAAUAACUCAGAGAAAUUUGAGCUAAUACCGGAUAAUGUCUUCGGACCAAAGAUUUAUCGCCUUUAGAUGGGCCCGCGUAAGAUUAGCUAGUUGGUGGGGUAAAGGCCUACCAAGGCGACGAUCUUUAGCUGGUCUGAGAGGAUGAUCAGCCACACUGGGACUGAGACACGGCCCAGACUCCUACGGGAGGCAGCAGUGGGGAAUAUUGGACAAUGGGCGAAAGCCUGAUCCAGCAAUGCCGCGUGAGUGAUGAAGGCCUUAGGGUUGUAAAGCUCUUUUACCCGAGAUGAUAAUGACAGUAUCGGGAGAAUAAGCUCCGGCUAACUCCGUG
This 452-nucleotide ribosomal RNA is filed under the name uncultured bacterium. Its description in RNAcentral is "bacterial SSU rRNA". It matches the Rfam family "Bacterial small subunit ribosomal RNA", at positions 8 to 507 of the family's 1533-position model. The record is from RNAcentral.